This 85-nucleotide small nuclear RNA is filed under the name Sorex araneus (European shrew). RNAcentral's name for it is "U2 spliceosomal RNA (ENSSARG00000019735.1)". It matches the Rfam family "U2 spliceosomal RNA", at positions 1 to 105 of the family's 192-position model. From Rfam's summary of the family: U2 is a small nuclear RNA (snRNA) component of the spliceosome (involved in pre-mRNA splicing). Complementary binding between U2 snRNA (in an area lying towards the 5' end but 3' to hairpin I) and the branchpoint sequence (BPS) of the intron results the bulging out of an unpaired adenosine, on the BPS, which initiates a nucleophilic attack at the intronic 5' splice site, thus starting the first of two transesterification reactions that mediate splicing. The record is from RNAcentral. Lineage: Eukaryota; Metazoa; Chordata; Mammalia; Eulipotyphla; Soricidae.
AUCGCUUCUCGGCCUUUUGGCUAAGAUCAAGUGUAGUAUCUAAUUUUAUAUGGGGUUUUCCCCCUUCACAGCUUUGAGAAUUUUU